This is a long non-coding RNA of Archocentrus centrarchus (flier cichlid), 445 nucleotides long. RefSeq lists it as uncharacterized. Lineage: Eukaryota; Metazoa; Chordata; Actinopteri; Cichliformes; Cichlidae. The record is from RefSeq and is a predicted model, not a curated record. The transcript is spliced from 3 exons.
AAAUUACUCCACCUCUUCAUAUUUUUACAAUUGUAACAGCACUAAUUUAAUGAGUAGGCCUCUUACUGACUGACUGCGUUAAUUCAGGCAGUUUGGGCAGGCUGCACAUCAGCAGUGCUCCAGGUGACCUGAUGGUCAGUUUCGGUCAUUAGUUGAUGAAGCUACGAAACACGAAUGUGACAGAAAGGAGCUGUCCAUGUGGUUCAGAGAGGAGGGAAAGGAGAGGAUUAAAGGAAGAAAAAAGACAAAGAUUAUGAACCACACACAGCUGCAUUUCAAGAGACUCUCAGAUGAUGUCCUAAAGAAAAAAGGUCACAGUGCUGAUCAGGAAAGAAACCAAAGCCCAUCUAAUGAACAGUUGGCUUCAUCUCUGCGCACUCAAACCGGUUCGCUACAAGAAGGAUGCGUUCUUUUAUCUGUUAAUUUCCUGCAUAUUUAUGUACCA